The submitters of this non-coding RNA (68 nucleotides) gave its source as unclassified sequences. The record is from Rfam.
CCUUUGGAGAACUACAUAAACAAAAGUAAUAAUUAUAUAUUAUGAAAUUGGGUUCAUUGAAUAAGGAA